RNAcentral lists this ribosomal RNA (497 nucleotides) under uncultured bacterium. Its description in RNAcentral is "partial 16S ribosomal RNA". It matches the Rfam family "Bacterial small subunit ribosomal RNA", at positions 28 to 507 of the family's 1533-position model. The record is from RNAcentral.
GAUGAACGCUGGCGGCGUGCCUAAUACAUGCAAGUCGAGCGAACGGACGAGAAGCUUGCUUCUCUGAUGUUAGCGGCGGACGGGUGAGUAACACGUGGAUAACCUACCUAUAAGACUGGGAUAACGUCGGGAAACCGGAGCUAAUACCGGAUAAUAUUUUGAACCGCAUGGUUCAAAAGUGAAAGACGGUCUUGCUGUCACUUAUAGAUGGAUCCGCGCUGCAUUAGCUAGUUGGUAAGGUAACGGCUUACCAAGGCAACGAUGCAUAGCCGACCUGAGAGGGUGAUCGGCCACACUGGAACUGAGACACGGUCCAGACUCCUACGGGAGGCAGCAGUAGGGAAUAUUCCGCAAUGGGCGAAAGCCUGACGGAGCAACGCCGCGUGAGUGAUGAAGGUCUUCGGAUCGUAAAACUCUGUUAUUAGGGAAGAACAUAUGUGUAAGUAACUGUGCACAUCUUGACGGUACCUACUCAGAAAGCCACGGCUAACUACGUG